AUGUCACGGACCAUUCUCUAAGACAAUUAUCCCGAAUUCAUUUUACCAAGAAGGUAUUUUUGAUUUUUGAUAAAGAUCCCGUCUUUUCUAUAUAUUUUUUAAAUUUAAUCUAUCAUUUUAUAUCUCAAAAUUGGCAUGAGUUUAAAAUAUAUAUAAAAUAAAUAGAAUAGAAUAGUUAAAUAAAAUAAAAUAUUUUUAUAAAUAUUUUUAAAUAUUUAUAUUUUUAUUUAAAAUAUUUAAUAUCAUUUGUGAUAUUUUUUUAUAUUAUAUUAAUUUU
Molecule: long non-coding RNA, 277 nt
Filed under: Elaeis guineensis (African oil palm)
Lineage: Eukaryota; Viridiplantae; Streptophyta; Magnoliopsida; Arecales; Arecaceae
Description: long non-coding RNA (EGUI_LNC022284)
Source: RNAcentral